Long non-coding RNA from Gadus macrocephalus (Pacific cod), 957 nucleotides. RefSeq lists it as uncharacterized. The record is from RefSeq and is a predicted model, not a curated record. Lineage: Eukaryota; Metazoa; Chordata; Actinopteri; Gadiformes; Gadidae. The transcript has 3 exons.
UGGCAAUAUGUGGUUUGUUGUCAUGGUGACUGUCAGCUGUGCGGCAGUCCCAGCCAAUCACGGUGGGAGACUAUCUAUAAAGGCGGGCGUAGAGCACCUGUCGGCCUCUUGCUUGCCGUAGGCUGGGUCACGUUGCGCCUGGGCGUCCAUUUCCGCUUCCGUGCGGUGACAGGCUCUUGCUUGCCGGAGGCUGGGUCACGUAGCUCCUGUGCGUCUAUUUCCGCUUCUGUGCAGUGAUAGGGCUCACUUGGAUGUUGCUGCUGGCUGCGCGCUGCUCAUCGAUACAUAGCCGAUGCCGCCUACUGAACUGUCGCUUUUGGAUAGCGUCCCGUUCCCUGCUCCACGCCACGUUGGCCGGGACUGCCCGAUUGGGUGGCCGACAGUAGCGGCGCAGCGGCGGCCAAUCCACCUAUAAAAACCACUGCUGCUUUGCCUCCACGUUAUUACCGCCUUGCCAGGGCCAGCUCGGACCCGAUCGCUUUGCCGUUCAUUCGGCUAGCGAUAGUUUGUUCCUUUUCCUGUUGUGUCGCUAUCUCUUUUGUUUAGUUACAUUCUAAAGUGUGUAUGUUAUGUUAUGUAAGAGUUUUUGCUGAUUUCUCCUUGUGUUUACUUAUUAUAGAUUUUGUUUAUUUAAUUAAUUUCUCUUAUUAUUAUUUUGUUUCCAUUAUGUUUUCUAACUGGUUGCUCUGCGAUCCCCCUCAAUUCAGGUGCUGAGCCUACGGUGGUGGACUGGUGUCCUGGUCACGGUGUCCCUUUUGUAUUGUGUUUGCAUUUGGUUUAUUUUUCAUUUGUUUUACGUGUGGUGUUCCUGGGACCCCCUUUCCUUUGGAUGCAGGUGUUCACAGUAGGUCUCAGCACUGAUUGGAUCUCAGCACCCAAUUUCCCUCCUUAGUGAGUAAUUCUCUAGUUUUAAGAACAGACAUUUUGUAUAAAUAAAUGUAUUUUUGUAUGAUCGAA